RNAcentral lists this transfer RNA (69 nucleotides) under Spirometra theileri. RNAcentral describes it as "tRNA-His". The record is from RNAcentral. Lineage: Eukaryota; Metazoa; Platyhelminthes; Cestoda; Diphyllobothriidea; Diphyllobothriidae.
UUACUGAUAGGUUAUUUAAACUGGCAAAUUGUGGUUUUGUUGAUUACUCUCUGUGUUUGUAUCAGUAAA